Molecule: ribosomal RNA, 498 nt
Filed under: uncultured bacterium
Lineage: Bacteria
Description: partial 16S ribosomal RNA
Rfam family: Bacterial small subunit ribosomal RNA
Source: RNAcentral
AUUGAACGCUGGCGGCAUGCCUUACACAUGCAAGUCGAACGGUAACGCGGGGCAACCUGGCGACGAGUGGCGAACGGGUGAGUAAUGCAUCGGAACGUGCCUGGUAGUGGGGGAUACCUGCUCGAAAGAGCGGCUAAUAACGCAUACGACCUGAGGGUGAAAGGGGGGGCUCGCAAGACCUAUCGCUAUCAGAGCGGACGAUGUAGGAUUAGCUAGUUGGUGGGGUAAAGGCCCACCAAGGCGACGAUCCGUAGCUGGUCUGAGAGGGAGACCAGCCACACUGGGACUGAGACACGGCCCAGACUCCUACGGGAGGCAGCAGUGGGGAAUUUUGGACAAUGGACGCAAGUCUGAUCCAGCCAUGCCGCGUGCGGGAAGAAGGCCUUCGGGUUGUAAACCGCUUUUGUCAGGGAAGAAAUCUUCUGGGUUAAUACCUCGGGAGGAUGACGGUACCUGAAGAAUAAGCACCGGCUAACUACGUGCCAGCAGCCGCGGUAA